This 468-nucleotide ribosomal RNA is filed under the name uncultured bacterium. RNAcentral's name for it is "partial 16S ribosomal RNA". It matches the Rfam family "Bacterial small subunit ribosomal RNA", at positions 28 to 507 of the family's 1533-position model. The record is from RNAcentral.
GACGAACGCUGGCGGCGUGCUUAACACAUGCAAGUCGAACGGAAAGGCCCUGCUUUUGUGGGGUGCUCGAGUGGCGAACGGGUGAGUAACACGUGAGUAACCUGCCCUUGACUUUGGGAUAACUUCAGGAAACUGGGGCUAAUACCGGAUAGGAGCUCCUGCUGCAUGGUGGGGGUUGGAGAGUUUCGGCGGUUGGGGAUGGACUCGCGGCUUAUCAGCUUGUUGGCGGGGUAGUGGCUUACCAAGGCUUUGACGGGUAGCCGGCCUGAGAGGGUGACCGGCCACAUUGGGACUGAGAUACGGCCCAGACUCCUACGGGAGGCAGCAGUGGGGAAUAUUGCACAAUGGGCGGAAGCCUGAUGCAGCAACGCCGCGUGCGGGAUGACGGCCUUCGGGUUGUAAACCGCUUUCGCCUGUGACGAAGCGUGAGUGACGGUAAUGGGUAAAGAAGCACCGGCUAACUACGUG